Non-coding RNA from Salmo salar (Atlantic salmon), 2027 nucleotides. The record is from RefSeq and is a predicted model, not a curated record. Lineage: Eukaryota; Metazoa; Chordata; Actinopteri; Salmoniformes; Salmonidae.
AGUUAAAUAUUCCUUGCCCACGAACAUUCGACCACCCAUCAGAGAUGAUUGCAAUACAAUCUGCUUUCUCUAUGAAAAAUUCAGGAAAUUUACCGGAACAUUUCUGACCCUUUGAAACCCUAAUUAUCGCUAUCAUUGCUAUUAUAGCUGACGUUUGCUAGCUAGCAACCCUAACUAGUUAGCUACCUACCCUAACUAGCCAGCUACCUAACUAGCUAGCUAGCUACCUGGCUAGCUAGCUAGCUGGCUACCUAGCUAGCUGGCUAACGUUAGCCUACCUCAAUACAUUUGGCAUGGAAACACGAUUUCAAAAGAUUGAGAGGGGCACCGUAUUUUAGCUCGCUAACAUUAGCAUUGCUAGCUAUUUUUGACGAACUUUGCUAGUAACAGUAAUGGCAAUAUUGCCAUCUCUUUUAAUGUAAAUUGAUUACAUCAUAAUAUGAAAAAGUUGUUUUCGUAGUAAUUAUUUGCCUACUUUAGCAAUGUUAUCCUAUUUCCAUGCCUCUCUAAGUUAGUGUAAUUUCACCAGCCUGAAUCUAAUCUAAUAUGGAGCCCUUCAGGCUACAUAUAUAGCAUUGAAUUAGCUUCCAAACGAGAUUGUGUUUUUUCUCAAGCUAUGUUUAUAGUUGAGGGAUGAUGGCAAUCAUUGACCCUCUUGUUAUGUUAAAAAGGGCACAGUUGGGUGCCAGACUGAAUUCCUGGUCAUGAAUGGAUGACGGGACCUACCAGAAGGAGCAAAGAUGGAUAUCGUAACAUGUCCAGCAAUGUAAUUGCAAUGGUUUAGCGACCUCCAAAAAAGAUUUUCAUUCGCUGUUCACUUUCUUUUUUCAGAGCUUGUCAAGCAAGACCUCAGAAUAAACAUGUGUCAUACGACACAAGUACCUUCUUUAGAACAAAAUACAAUUUGCCACUUGGCUGUCUAUAUCACCCUGUCACAGGCCUUCCCAGUCAGCACCACCUCAUAAGAUUGCCUGCUGCAGUUGUUCGAGAAAUGUCCAGUUUGCAGCCGACCAGCAGCAUAGACAAGACCAGCAAUGGGGCCCUCAUCAGCAUCAUGCAGACAUGCCCUCGCAGUGAGAAUUCCUAUGAAUGGAACAGUCGGCCACAUGUUGGCAAGUAUCCAGCCAGCAACCUUCACCUGUCAGUGGCAACAGCUUUCACAAGCUCAUCAUUUGUACAAAUACAGAAAGUAACCCACUUCAUUACUUUGAUGCAUUUGAUAACCAAAUUGUGAAACAUAAUUUAAGUAAACUGACAUUAUUUGUUGCUUAUUUUCUACUUCUUAGAUGCAUAUAAUGUCCAGCGCAUAACCUAGCUUGGUGGAACCAGCCUGAUCACUGUGUUCACCAUUUCUUUUCACUUCACAUUUUAUGAUAUCUGAAGUGAAAAGAAAGGUGAUCAGGUUGGUUCCACCGGGUUAAUCAUAACCACCACUGCUAAUGUAAUCAAUGUGUGUGUGUGUGUGUGUGUGUGUGUGUGUGUGUGUGUGUGUUGUGUGUGUGUUGUGUGUGACCAACCAAUAUCUUUGAUGAGGGGCAAGAAGCGGAUCUACGCUGCUAUGCCCAUCAAUAGGGAUCUGGCAAAGACCUCACCUCCAGCCUCGCCUCUUGCCUGCUCACCAACGGUCUUUGAUGGGGAGGAUAGAAUUAGAUGGACUGGAGAGGGUUUUUCCAGAAGGAAGCCUCAGUUUUUUGAUUGGGAGACCAUAAUUGGAAACAUGUAUGGAGCCAGCACAUGGAGACUAGCAAGAUGAAGUGAUGAAGUCCAGACUGACAGAAGGGCUUGAUACACUCGGCAUCAACAUUUUACUAGGCUCUUUUUUUAUUAUAGAAUUGAGUGGAAUCAGUCCAUAUCAGGAGGGAGAAACCCAGUGUGUUCUGCACCAGGAUCAGGAAACUCCUGCUGUAUACGGAACACUGCACAGGAAGGUAUGACCACCCUGACAUGUUUUCCAAGGUAGUCCCAUUACCACCAGACAACAUGCCAAUAGGCACAGUAUCUGUAUUGGCUGGGAAAGACAAUGAAAG